UGGGCUGUAGCUCAGUGAUAGAGCACUUGCCUGGCAUCCGUGAAGUCCUAGGUUCAAAUUCCCAGUAGCACAA
RNAcentral lists this transfer RNA (73 nucleotides) under Cavia porcellus (domestic guinea pig). It matches the Rfam family "tRNA". Rfam says of the family: Transfer RNA (tRNA) molecules are approximately 80 nucleotides in length. Their secondary structure includes four short double-helical elements and three loops (D, anti-codon, and T loops). Lineage: Eukaryota; Metazoa; Chordata; Mammalia; Rodentia; Caviidae. The record is from Rfam by way of RNAcentral.